RNAcentral lists this ribosomal RNA (35 nucleotides) under uncultured organism. RNAcentral describes it as "partial 16S ribosomal RNA". The record is from RNAcentral.
UGGGUUUGACAUGCAGAGAAAAGCUGUAGAGAUAC